Molecule: ribosomal RNA, 275 nt
Filed under: uncultured Glomus
Lineage: Eukaryota; Fungi; Glomeromycota; Glomeromycetes; Glomerales; Glomeraceae
Description: partial 5.8S ribosomal RNA
Rfam family: 5.8S ribosomal RNA (bases 3-158)
About the family: 5.8S ribosomal RNA (5.8S rRNA) is a component of the large subunit of the eukaryotic ribosome. It is transcribed by RNA polymerase I as part of the 45S precursor that also contains 18S and 28S rRNA.
Source: RNAcentral
UCACUUUCCAACAACGGAUCUCUCGGCUCUCGCAUCGAUGAAGAACGCAGCGAAAUGCGAUAAGUAGUGUGAAUUGCGGGUGUAUACGUGAAUCAUCGAAUCUUUGAACGCGAAUUGCACUUCCUGGUAUUCCGGGGAGUAUGCCUGUUUGAGGGUCGCCUAAAUAAUACGUCGAUUAGCGUUGCUUUUCUUUCGAAAGUGAUGUUUAUCGGAUUUGAGUCGUCUUUAUUUUUUUUAGUGGAAUGAGGUGGCUUAAAUUCGUUUUUCCGGUAUCA